CCUACGGGAGGCAGCAGUAGGGAAUAUUGCUCAAUGGGGGAAACCCUGAAGCAGCAAAGCCGCGUGGAGGAUGAAGGUUUUCGGAUUGUAAACUCCUUUUGUUAGAGAAGAAAAUGACGGUAUCUAACGAAUAAGCACCGGCUAACUCCGUGCCAGCAGCCGCGGUAAUACGGCGGGUGCAAGCGUUACUCGGAAUCACUGGGCGUAAAGGGCGCGUAGGCGGGAUAGCAAGUCAGAUGUGAAAUCCUAUGGCUUAACCAUAGAACUGCAUUUGAAACUGUUAUUCUAGAGUAUGGGAGAGGUAGGUGGAAUUCUUGGUGUAGGGGUGAAAUCCGUAGAGAUCAAGAAGAAUACUCAUUGCGAAGGCGGCCUGCUAGACCAUAACUGACGCUGAUGCGCGAAAGCGUGGGGAGCAAACAGGAUUAGAUACCCGAGUAGUC
RNAcentral lists this ribosomal RNA (440 nucleotides) under uncultured bacterium. Its description in RNAcentral is "partial 16S ribosomal RNA". It matches the Rfam family "Bacterial small subunit ribosomal RNA", at positions 338 to 795 of the family's 1533-position model. The record is from RNAcentral.